AUACUGCAAGUCGAACGAUACCAGAGAGCUUGCUUUCUGGGAAAGUGGCGCACGGGUGCGUAACGCGUAUGCAACCUACCUUAAUCAGGGGGAUAGCCUCUCGAAAGAGAGAUUAACACCGCAUAAAAUCACACUUCGGCAUCGAAGAAUGAUCAAAUAUUUAUAGGAUUAAGAUGGGCAUGCGUGACAUUAGCUAGUUGGUAAGGUAACGGCUUACCAAGGCUACGAAGUCUAGGGGAUCUGAGAGGAUGACCCCCCACACUGGUACUGAGACACGGACCAGACUCCUACGGGAGGCAGCAGUAAGGAAUAUUGGUCAAUGGGGGCAACCCUGAACCAGCCAUGCCGCGUGCAGGAAGACGGCCCUACGGGUUGUAAACUGCUUUUAUACGGGAAUAAAUCAAGCUACGUGUAGUUUGUUGAAUGUACUGUAAGAAUAAGGAUCGGCUAACUCCGUGCCAGCAGCCGCGGUAAUACGGAGGAUCCAAGCGUUAUCCGGAUUUAUUGGGUUUAAAGGGUGCGUAGGCGGCCUAUUAAGUCAGGGGUGAAAGACGGUGGCUCAACCAUCGCAGUGCCCUUGAUACUGAUGGGCUUGAUUACACUUGAGGUAGGCGGAAUGUGACAAGUAGCGGUGAAAUGCAUAGAUAUGUCACAGAACACCAAUUGCGAAGGCAGCUUACUAAGGUGUCAAUGACGCUGAGGCACGAAAGCGUGGGGAUCAAACAGGAUUAGAUACCCUGGUAGUCCACGCCCUAAACGAUGAAUACUCGAUGUUAGCGAUAUACAGUUAGCGUCAAAGCGAAAGCGUUAAGUAUUCCACCUGGGGGAGUACGCUCGCAAGGGUGAAACUCAAAGGAAUUGACG
Molecule: ribosomal RNA, 864 nt
Filed under: uncultured bacterium
Lineage: Bacteria
Description: bacterial SSU rRNA
Rfam family: Bacterial small subunit ribosomal RNA
Source: RNAcentral